CAAAUUAAGCCGUAAAUUGUACUAGUAAAUGGAACUCCGAUUACAUGGUAUAUAUGUAUAUUCCAUGCUACAGUAACGCUGGAAAAUUUGAAGCGACCUAGCUAAGAAGUGGUGGUGGAAGAAGCUUGGCCGGCGGAAAAGACUGAGAACCGGCAAAGGGGGCAGGAAUUCCGAACUGUGAGCCACUUUCCAAUGCAUUCUGCGUGAAAAACAUGGCCACAGGGAACUUGUUUGCCGGUUUCCACAAAGGCUUCCAUGCAAACAGUACAGGCACCGGUGGCCGCAACCGCCGGCAACUCGACUUGACGAUUAUGUCUGGAAGCAUUGGACUCCGACAGCUUCAUUGGAUUCGUUUGAUCGUCGCUGCUGGAACCGUCCAACCUUGUCGUCUCCGGUAUUGUCGAGGCCGUGUCGAGGUCGAACAUUUCCUCGACAUCAAAAAGUGACAUUGGGCCGUGGAUAAUACGUACGAGGAUGAUUAGUACUGCAAAGAUAUGAUUAAAAGAUAAUUUGCACUUUGCAGGGCGUAUGUGUGUAUAUAUAGUUGCGGAGUGCGUGAGUGUGUGCUCUGCUGAUCGACCGUCGGGCGCGGGUGUUGCAACUUGGAAAACUGUCAAUGGCGUCGUUGUCAAAAUUAUUUAGGGGUCUGACGGCAUUGGCAAGCUUUUCAACUUGUGACUCUUUUGUCCUUUUACCACUUUCUUCCCUUCUAACCUACCGUAUUUUGCAAAUGAGCAGGCAGCUGCAGAAAACAGUGGGACAGCUAAAAGUGCUAGCACAAGUUGCUAGUGGAAGAAAUACAUGUUGUGAUAGGGAAGCUGUAUUUUGUAGCGACUGGCAAGUGGCAAGCGGCAACCAUCACCUAUUACCUGGCAAGGGCCAAUAGAUGGCCGGAAAGAUUUGGACUCGUUUAAAGAAAGGAAUCUUGUGAACACAGUAGCGUGUUAGAUAUUUUUCAAAUUUUGAUAUUUUCAAAUAUGAUCACGGUGAACAUAAUGUCAGAUAUUUUUUUAAAUUUGAUCAUUUGCAUUGAUGGGGCCGUGUUGGAAUCCG
RNAcentral lists this long non-coding RNA (1053 nucleotides) under Coffea arabica (coffee). Its description in RNAcentral is "long non-coding RNA (CARA_LNC004019)". The record is from RNAcentral. Lineage: Eukaryota; Viridiplantae; Streptophyta; Magnoliopsida; Gentianales; Rubiaceae.